UGAAUACGAGAUGCUACGGCGUCGAAGCAGUGUAUGUCAGACUUCAAGAAAAGCUCGCAAUGUCAUAAUUAAAGAAUGCCUGUACCAUAACCGACACAGGUAGGUAGGUAGAGUAUACUAAGGGGCGCGAGAUAACUCUCUCUAAGGAACUCGGCAAAAUAACUCCGUAACUUCGGGAGAAGGAGUGCCUUCUUUAAGAAGGUUGCAAUAACAAGAUCCAAGCAACUGUUUAUCAAAAACACAGGUCUCCGCUAAGUCGUAAGACGAUGUAUGGGGGCUGACGCCUGCCCAGUGCCAGAAGGUUAAAGAAGUUGGUUAGCUUUUGCGAAGCCGAUGACUGAAGCCCUGGUGAACGGCGGCCGUAACAAUAACGGUCCUAAGGUAGCGAAAUUCCUUGUCGGGUAAGUUCCGACCCGCACGAAAGGCGUAAUGAUUUGGAUACUGUCUCGGAGAGGGACUCGGUGAAAUAGACUUGUCUGUGAAGAUGCGGACUACCUGCACCAGGACAGAAAGACCCUAUGAAGCUUUACUGUAACUUGAAAUUGAAAUUGGACUUUAUUUGCGCAGUAUAGGUGGAAGGCGUUGAAAGUAAUCUUGCGGGAUUAGUGGAGCCAUCAGUGAGAUACCACUCCUAUAAUGUUAGAUUUCUAACUUUGGAUCAUGAUCUGGUCAAGGAACAGUUUCAGGCGGGCAGUUUGACUGGGGCGGUCGCCUCCCAAAUGGUAACGGAGGCGUACAAAGGUUUCCUCUGAACGGGUAGAAAUCGUAUCUAGAGUGUAAAGGCAUAAGGAAGCUUGACUGUGAGACCUACAAGUCGAGCAGGGACGAAAGUCGGUCUUAGUGAUCUGACGGUGCUGAGAGGAAAGGCCGUCACUCAACGGAUAAAAGUUACUCUAGGAUAACAGGCUGAUCUCCCCCAAGAGUUCACAUCGACGGGGAGGUUUGGCACCUCGAUGUCGGCUCAUCGCAUCCUGGGGCGGUAGUACGUCCCAAGGGUUGGGCUGUUCGCCCAUGGAAGCGGUACGCGAGCUGGGUUCAGAACGUCGUGAGACAGUUCGGUCCAUAUCCGGUGUAGGCGUUAGAAUACUGAGAGGAGCCUUCUUUAGUACGAGAGGACCGAGAAGGACAUACCUCUGGUGUACCAGUUAUCGUGCCAACGGUAAACGCUGGGUAGCUAUGUAUGGAGAGGAUAACCGCUGAAAGCAUCUAAGUGGGAAGCCCACCUCAAGAUGAGUAUUCUC
RNAcentral lists this ribosomal RNA (1241 nucleotides) under metagenome. RNAcentral describes it as "bacterial LSU rRNA". It matches the Rfam family "Bacterial large subunit ribosomal RNA", at positions 1564 to 2815 of the family's 2925-position model. The record is from RNAcentral.